RNAcentral lists this ribosomal RNA (253 nucleotides) under uncultured bacterium. RNAcentral describes it as "partial 16S ribosomal RNA". It matches the Rfam family "Bacterial small subunit ribosomal RNA", at positions 524 to 776 of the family's 1533-position model. The record is from RNAcentral.
UACGUAGGGUGCGAGCGUUGUCCGGAAUUACUGGGCGUAAAGAGCUCGUAGGUGGUUUGUCGCGUUGUUCGUGAAAACCGGGGGCUUAACCCUCGGCGUGCGGGCGAUACGGGCAGACUUGAGUACUGCAGGGGAGACUGGAAUUCCUGGUGUAGCGGUGGAAUGCGCAGAUAUCAGGAGGAACACCGAUGGCGAAGGCAGGUCUCUGGGCAUUACCUGACGCUGAGGAGCGAAAGUGUGGGGAGCGAACAGG